Molecule: long non-coding RNA, 2518 nt
Filed under: Papio anubis (olive baboon)
Lineage: Eukaryota; Metazoa; Chordata; Mammalia; Primates; Cercopithecidae
Description: lncRNA (ENSPANG00000041345.1)
Source: RNAcentral
UUGAAAUGCCCUAAUAGAUUUUCAGUUAGGGAUAGUUUAAUAGUAACUCACUCAACUCACUCAAACUAAGUUAGGUGAAAAGGGGAAUUUAUUGGACUAAUCCAGACGUAUUUCACAGAUCACAAAGGCAAGGAAUAUAGCUGGGCCUCAUGAGACACAAAGCCUACCAUCUAGAAAAUUAGGAACCACAGUUCGUCUCUUGAAAGCUUUGCUGUGAGCGUCUGCCUCGGUAUGUUCUCCUGUCUAUAAUUUUAUUCCCUGUCUGGACAGUGCCAAAUAAAGCUUAAUUAAAAUUCUGCAUUCCGAUUCCAAAUUUCUAAGGAAUCUUACUGGUCCAUUUUGGGUCAGGGCUAUGCCAGGAAAGGCUCAUGUUGUCCACAAACCUCUCACCUAGAACUGUGAGAACAGACUGUUGGGGUAUAUAAGUGAAAAGCAUUCAUUAAGAAGGGACAUGGGUGUAGGAAGAAGACAAAUGGCAUCUUUUGCUGUAUAAGGAAUUUUAUAAUCUGUAAAGAAUGCACAUGGUAUGAUGUUUCAAGUUGGGUUUUAUUUCGAAGUAAAAACAAAUAAGGAAGUGGCUAAAUAUUCUUGUUGAAUCAUUGUGGUCCCGACCUUCUUGGAGCUGGUAAAACGUGUUUGGAACAUUUUGCAAUUCAAGACCCUUUUGUCUCCUUAAUUCCAGUCAUAGGUGAUGAACACCCCAGCCUUGCCUCAAACAUGCUUCCACCAGUGCUUCCAUCACUUUGAAAAGGGGCAAUCAUGGAUACUUGUAUUGCAUCAUGGAAGAAUUCAGAAAGCAACCCGGGGAAGCUACAUGUGAACCACACACAGAUGAAGACCCUUCUCAAAGGAAUAACCAUAACCUGGGAGUUGCUGUUUAAAUUAUGGAUUCUAAACUCUAAGUUCUCUACUUUCUGCUGUACACCAAACACCAAACCAUCUUCCACAAAGAAUACUGCUGCAUGAACUCUCACCUGAGCACAAACAGGAGACAAUGCACCGUAUACUCUACAUCAUCAUCAGUUUCUCCCUUAAACUAAAAAUAUUCUUUAUUUGGAGGCAAGGAUGCCUGCAUUUUCACAAAAGUUGUAACAAAAUGUUAGGAGCAUGGGCUCUGGAAUUACAUUACACGUUCAUCACUUACCAGCUCUGUGAUGGUGGGAAAGCAAUGUAAACUCUCUAUACUGCACUAUCAUCCUCUGUAAAAUAGGGGUGAUCGUGAGUUUCCAUGGAUUUAUUUUAAUGAUUAAAUGUGUGGGUAAGGCAUGAAAUCCUAGGUUACAAUCCAAGUAUCCAAGUGAUGGAUACACUAAAAGUCCACACUUCACUCUGAUACAAAUAUCCAUGUAACACAACUGCACUCAUCUCACUAAAUAUAUUUUAAAACUUAAAAAAUUAAAAAUGUAUUUACACCCCCUCCCCACAAAGAGUUUGCUAUCAUAUCUCUGUGUAGCAUCAAUAUGUUUACUCUUUGUCAGAUACUAUCUUUCAAAUGCUUUACACAUUAAAGCAAUUAAUCCUCAUCUUUGCAUUAAUCUUUUCUUUUUCCCCAUUUGACAGAUGGGGAAACUAAGGGGCAGAGUAAUGAAGCAGGUUAUCUAUACUCACACAGCAGGUAAGUAAUGGAGGUAGAAUUUGAACCCAAAACCUGUGUUCCAGAGUCUGUGCUUCUUGGAAGGCUGGAUACUCCUUCUCCAUGAUUGUAAGCUUUUAUUAUCAUAAGGGGAGCAAGAAAUUCUCUUUUAGUCUUCACAUCUUGCCAUAUCAUCUCAACCGCUCUGGCCAUCUUUUAAGAGCUUCGUCAGUUCUUGUUUUGAAUACUGCAACAUCACUCAAACUUCUUACUCUGCCUGUAGGCUGAACCCCAUCUGAUGCAUUCUCCACAUUGCAGUCAGCAUGGUACAUAUUAAUAGUAUAAUCACUCAUUUUCCUCAUAACAAUGUUUCUGAGGUUAAUCAUCAUUUUCAAAAUACUGCCAUGAUCUGAGCCCCGCUUUCCUUUCCAACUUUAUCCCCUUCCACUUCCUUUCAGGUUAGACAUUUUGGAAAUCCAGAAUAUCUGAAAUUUCCUAAGUAUCCCAUGCAUUUUUUUUUAUGCUUUGAAGUAUUUUUUUCCCUGUUGAUUUGAUCAUGUUUUUAUGCAUGGCUAAAUCCUUUAUAUCCUUUAAACUCAUUGUAAGCAUCCUCUUCUACAGAGUGUUUUCUGGUAUCUUCAUUUGUACCUCCUGGAUUCUAGAUGUGAUUAUAUUCACAAUUACUAAGCAAGAAAGGUAUAGAAAGUAUUCUGAUUAAAAAAAAACUGCAGCCAAAGUCAUAUCAAUUACUAUGCAGAACUGUCCUAGGGGGUCAUGAUAUCAAACUUGCUUUGGGCAAAUAUUAAAGAGCAACUGAACCAAAUAUGGUCAGAAUUCCUGCUGGAGUAAUAGCAGUGCUGAGUGACCCUGGCUGUAGUUGCAUUCAUGUAUUAAGAAAUUUUUGUAUAACACUUUGUGAUCAGCAAAACUCAGUAGACGUUUUCC